RNAcentral lists this ribosomal RNA (400 nucleotides) under uncultured Glomeromycotina. RNAcentral describes it as "eukaryotic LSU rRNA". Lineage: Eukaryota; Fungi; Glomeromycota. The record is from RNAcentral.
GAAAAGAACUUUGAAAAGAGAGUUAAAUAGUACGUGAAAUUGUUGAAAGGGAAACGAUUGAAGCCAGUCGUACCGACGAGAAAUCAGCUCUUUUUGUGCGAACUUGUGGGCGUGCGUGAGCUUUACGGCCUCGCUGUUUGCUAUGUUUGUGCUCUUUGGGUGUACUUUUUCGUAUGGUAGGCCAAUGUCAGUUUCGAUUAUCAUAAAAUAAUUGGAGGAAUGUAGCUUCGACCUCGGUUGAAGUGUUAUAGCCUCUGGUAGAUGUGGUAAUUGGGACUGAGGAUUGCAACGAAUACCUUUUAGGCUAUCCGUCUGACCUCUGAAAGUCGCUUAGGUGCCGAAAGCUUGCUUACGGUUAUUUAAGUUGGCGGUCAAUAGGUUAGAACGUGAUUAUAUUCGU